GCCUCCAACGGCACAGGACAUAGGGUUGGCAGGACCCCCAGCGGAACCUCCAACGGCACAAGAGUAGGGACUUGAGUGGAGACUCGAGAGGAAACUUGAGAGUUGACUUGAGAGAUGGCUUGAGAGGGAUCUUGAGCGGGAACUUGAACGGAGACUUGAGAGGAAACUCGAGAGGAAACUCGAGAAGUGACUCGAGAGGGGACUUGAGAAGGGACUCGAGAGGUGACUUGAGAGGUGACUUGAGAAGUGUCUUGAAUGGGAACUCCAGAGGUGACUUGAGAAGUGUCUUGAAUGGGAACUCCAGAGGUGACUUGAGAAGUGUCUUGAAUGGUGACUCGAGAGGGGACUCGAGAAGAGACUCGAGAGGGGACUCGAGAGGGGACUCGAGAGCGAACUCGAGAGGUGACUUGAGAAGUGUCUUGAAUGGGAACUCCAGAGGUGACUCGAGAGGGGACUCGAGAAGAGACUCGAGAGGGGACUCGAGAGGGAACUCGAGAGGUGACUUGAGAGGUGACUCGAGAGGGUACUUGAGAAGAGACUUGAGACGGUUGGUUCGCCAACAGAACACGAGGAGCUGGAGUCGGCUGGAGAGCCAGCAGGAGACGAGGUGCUGGAGUCGGCCGGUAUGCCGACAGGACUCGGGGAGCUGGCGUUGGCCUGUAAGCCAGUCCUGGAGACGAAACUGGAGUCGGAACCAUGGGUACUGGGGCCGGUACUGAAGCCAGAACCAUGGCUGUAAGGUCCAGUUCUGGAGCCGGAAACAUGACUGCUGGGGCCGGCACUGGAGCC
Molecule: long non-coding RNA, 789 nt
Organism: Notothenia coriiceps (black rockcod)
Lineage: Eukaryota; Metazoa; Chordata; Actinopteri; Perciformes; Nototheniidae
Exons: 3
Source: RefSeq, a predicted model, not a curated record